This 254-nucleotide ribosomal RNA is filed under the name uncultured bacterium. RNAcentral describes it as "partial 16S ribosomal RNA". It matches the Rfam family "Bacterial small subunit ribosomal RNA", at positions 1238 to 1500 of the family's 1533-position model. The record is from RNAcentral.
UACAGCGGGAAGCCAUAUGGCGACAUAGAGCGGAACCCGAAAACCUGUCUCAGUUCGGAUUGGAGUCUGCAACCCGACUCCAUGAAGCUGGAUUCGCUAGUAAUCGCGCAUCAGCCACGGCGCGGUGAAUACGUUCCCGGGCCUUGUACACACCGCCCGUCAAGCCAUGGAAGCCGGGAGUGCCUGAAGUGCGUGAGCGCAAGCAGCGCCCUAAGGUAAAACCGGUGACUGGGGCUAAGUCGUAACAAGGUAAC